This 333-nucleotide long non-coding RNA is filed under the name Macaca mulatta (Rhesus monkey). RNAcentral's name for it is "lncRNA (ENSMMUG00000065202.1)". Lineage: Eukaryota; Metazoa; Chordata; Mammalia; Primates; Cercopithecidae. The record is from RNAcentral.
AUGAUAAUACACACAAAAACUGGUGGCCAUAAGCAAAAAAAUCUGGAAAUACCCAAUUCUUUACUCUGGGUUAAAAGAGAUUUACGAGAGACCUGGUCUUUAGAAAAUGCAUUGGACAUCCAAGUUCAGAACCCUACUUCUGCAUUCAGACAGGCAGGGGAUGCCUCAUCCUUUGAAUACUGGCACAUUAAGAGCAGUCACAUAGGAAAAAAGAAUGGAAGAAACAGAAAGUACUGGGCACAAUGUAUCCAACACUGUGUUUUGAAUGACUCCAGAUUCUAUGACUGCCUAGAGGGGUUUUGCUGGAUCAGUGCAAUGUCAUUCAACAAUUAG